Molecule: long non-coding RNA, 781 nt
Filed under: Homo sapiens (human)
Lineage: Eukaryota; Metazoa; Chordata; Mammalia; Primates; Hominidae
Description: non-protein coding lnc-ADO-3:1
Source: RNAcentral
AAACCCCUACUCACUUUCUUGGCAGCUCAAAACCGCAAGCAAAAGGAGGCAGCGAAGAAAAAAAAAGCUACAUGCAUUCACGGAAGCUGACUGCUUUUUUCUGAAUUACUUGGUGGAAAGAAGUGGCUGGUGAUAAGAGUGAAUGCGUAUUGCUUUUUUGGAAAGUCUGUUCUAUUUAUACAGGAGCGAAAACGGAACAGGUUUGGGUUGUUUGUUUGUUUAAGUAUUUUGGGCACCUUGGGACUGGGAGGGUAAACCCUAGGAGGAGCAGAAUUACUGUGGGGAGCUUCGAGAGAAAUCCUCAGCCGGAGACACCCUCCUUCCUCUGCCCGCGCGCUCCCCGCCCCCCUUCAGCUGCUGCGCGGAGCGGGCGCCCUUCCCGGCGCGUCUGGGCGGUCGGCUGCGUGGGGGCGUCCAGAUGGAAGCUUGGACACUCACCCUGCCCCUCCAGACACACAUACACACACACUCACACUCGCUCCACUUCCGCUACACACUCCCGCCCCCGCUGCCCUCUUCACACACCCGCUCACACACCUUACACUACACACCUCCCUGUUGACUGCGUCCGCGCGCCGUCGUUGCCAGCAGUGUCCCGGCGGCAGAGCGGGCUCCGGGCUCGCUGGACAGGAGGUUCUAUGAAGACACUGGCCUAACCUUCACUACCGGUCCCUGCAGCCACAGAAUCCCCCUGACCCCCAUAGCCCAGGAUCCAGGACCGCGCCCUGCCCGCACCCGAGCCAGAAUACACGUACUAGAAUAAAUAUUUUCUCUCCCUCCC